RNAcentral lists this ribosomal RNA (438 nucleotides) under Triticum aestivum (bread wheat). Its description in RNAcentral is "partial small subunit ribosomal RNA". Lineage: Eukaryota; Viridiplantae; Streptophyta; Magnoliopsida; Poales; Poaceae. The record is from RNAcentral.
AUGAAAGGUUUGGGGCUUGACAGCAUGCUUCCUGAAGAGAUUGGUAACUUGACGAGCUUGGAGGAGCUCCAUCUCAACUCUGUUACUUUGACUGGAUCAAUCCCACCAACAAUUGGGAUGCUCACGAAGCUCCGCACACUGAGCAUGAGGUACAACAAUCUGACAGGGAGCAUCCCGCUUGAGAUUGGAAACAUGACGGAACUGCAGGAGUUGUACUUUUCGAAUAACUAUUUGGAAGGACAGCUACCAGGUACAAUAUCUCAUUUGAUUAAACUCCAGUAUUUGCAUCUAUCAGUGAACCAGUUCCGGGGCCACAUUGCCCCUGAGCUUGGGAAUAGCAGCUUCUUGGACACGGUCGAUGUUCAGAUGAACAACUUCUCUGGGUUGUCCAUUUGUGUAGGAGGAGCACUGACUUCUGUCAGUGCUGGACACAAUUGA